Molecule: long non-coding RNA, 257 nt
Filed under: Brassica rapa (field mustard)
Lineage: Eukaryota; Viridiplantae; Streptophyta; Magnoliopsida; Brassicales; Brassicaceae
Description: long non-coding RNA (BRAP_LNC005702)
Source: RNAcentral
GAAAAGGGAUCUAUGGGGAGAGAGUAGAUGACAAGGGAAUAAAGGUAACACAUGUGAGAAGACGCCAUGUUUUGCGGCAAUAUCACGAGGGGUCACACUGUGCGACUUUAUAAUCUCGAUGUUUAUGUGCCUAUAUCUUGGCUUCUCCUACUUGAACUCUAGCUUCUAUCGCACCUUCUCCGAAGUAUCUCUACCACUUGGCAUACAAACAGUACCAGCAAGUUUUAGGCAUCAAUCUUCCAUUGUAUUAUUGGGCG